GUCGAGCGCGGGAAGCGAGCGGAUCCCUUCGGGGUGAAGCUCGUGGAACGAGCGGCGGACGGGUGAGUAACACGUGGGCAACCUGCCUGUAAGACCGGAAUAACCCCGGGAAACCGGGGCUAAUGCCGGGUAAUACUUUUCUUCGCAUGAAGGAAAGUUGAAAGAUGGCUUCUCGCUAUCACUUACAGAUGGGCCCGCGGCGCAUUAGCUAGUUGGUGAGGUAACGGCUCACCAAGGCGACGAUGCGUAGCCGACCUGAGAGGGUGAUCGGCCACACUGGGACUGAGACACGGCCCAGACUCCUACGGGAGGCAGCAGUAGGGAAUCUUCCGCAAUGGACGAAAGUCUGACGGAGCAACGCCGCGUGAACGAUGAAGGUCUUCGGAUCGUAAAGUUCUGUUGUUAGGGAAGAACAAGUACCGUGCGAAUAGAGCGGUACCUUGACGGUACCUAACGAGGAAGCCCCGGCUAACUACGUGCCAGCAGCCGCGGUAAUACGUAGGGGGCAAGCGUUGUCCGGAAUUAUUGGGCGUAAAGCGCGCGCAGGCGGUUCCUUAAGUCUGAUGUGAAAGCCCACGGCUCAACCGUGGAGGGUCAUUGGAAACUGGGGAACUUGAGGACAGAAGAGGAGAGUGGAAUUCCACGUGUAGCGGUGAAAUGCGUAGAUAUGUGGAGGAACACCAGUGGCGAAGGCGACUCUCUGGUCUGUUUCUGACGCUG
Molecule: ribosomal RNA, 720 nt
Filed under: Halobacillus profundi
Lineage: Bacteria; Bacillati; Bacillota; Bacilli; Caryophanales; Bacillaceae
Description: bacterial SSU rRNA
Rfam family: Bacterial small subunit ribosomal RNA
Source: RNAcentral